UUUCAAUGCUUGUAGCAACCAACCCUACCUGGCAACAUGUUCUUCUGCAAGCCAGAGGUUACAGGAUUGGCAUGAAGGGAUGUCUGUUGAGCGGCGGUUGUAGGAGACAUUUCUUUGCCCCAAGGAAAAGCUAGAAAAUUUGAUCUCUUUCUUCUCCGGGAUCUGGUCAUGUGGACAUGUGACUCUGGGAUCUGUGAAGCCUUGUUGCUGCCAGUUGGAGGAUGAAGCCAACACUGAGGAGGCCGAGCAGGAUGAGGGAUCUAUCUCCUUGAUCCUGCCAUUGAGCCAUGGACCCACUGCCUUGAAGCUGCAUCUCUGGACUUUACACUGCGUGAAAUAAUACAUAUCUUUAAUGUUUAAGCCAUUUUAGUUGUGUUUUCUAUUACUUUAGCUAAAAGUACCAUUACUAAUACUGAUGUCUCUGCUUUCAGCGAUGCAUCCCAAAAGCAGUGGGAGGAUUAAAAAAAUAUUCUGUAAUCG
Molecule: long non-coding RNA, 480 nt
Filed under: Homo sapiens (human)
Lineage: Eukaryota; Metazoa; Chordata; Mammalia; Primates; Hominidae
Description: non-protein coding lnc-MCCC2-2:2
Source: RNAcentral